UGCAGUCGAGCGGGCACUUCGGUGUCAGCGGCGGACGGGUGAGUAACGCGUGGGAACGUGCCCUCUGGUUCGGAAUAACUCAGGGAAACUUGAGCUAAUACCGGAUACGCCCUUUUGGGGAAAGGCUUGCUGCCGGAGGAUCGGCCCGCGUCUGAUUAGCUAGUUGGUGAGGUAACGGCUCACCAAGGCGACGAUCAGUAGCUGGUCUGAGAGGAUGAUCAGCCACACUGGGACUGAGACACGGCCCAGACUCCUACGGGAGGCAGCAGUGGGGAAUAUUGGACAAUGGGCGCAAGCCUGAUCCAGCCAUGCCGCGUGAGUGAUGAAGGCCUUAGGGUUGUAAAGCUCUUUUAUCCGGGACGAUAAUGACGGUACCGGAGGAAUAAGCCCCGGCUAACUUCGUGCCAGCAGCCGCGGUAAUACGAAGGGGGCUAGCGUUGCUCGGAAUCACUGGGCGUAAAGGGCGCGUAGGCGGCGUUUUAAGUCGGGGGUGAAAGCCUGUGGCUCAACCACAGAAUGGCCUUCGAUACUGGGACGCUUGAGUAUGGUAGAGGUUGGUGGAACUGCGAGUGUAGAGGUGAAAUUCGUAGAUAUUCGCAAGAACACCGGUGGCGAAGGCGGCCAACUGGACCAUUACUGACGCUGAGGCGCG
This 652-nucleotide ribosomal RNA is filed under the name Methylobacterium mesophilicum. Its description in RNAcentral is "bacterial SSU rRNA". It matches the Rfam family "Bacterial small subunit ribosomal RNA", at positions 56 to 755 of the family's 1533-position model. The record is from RNAcentral. Lineage: Bacteria; Pseudomonadati; Pseudomonadota; Alphaproteobacteria; Hyphomicrobiales; Methylobacteriaceae.